Molecule: small RNA, 1353 nt
Filed under: Pongo abelii (Sumatran orangutan)
Lineage: Eukaryota; Metazoa; Chordata; Mammalia; Primates; Hominidae
Description: retained intron
Source: RNAcentral
GUACAUCCGCUCGGAGCGUUCUGUCAUCCUCAUCAACUUCUGCCUGUCCAUCAUCUCCUCCAAUGCCCUCAUCCUCAUCGGGCAGACCCAGACCCGCAACAAGGUGGUGUGCACGCUGGUGGCCGCCUUCCUGCACUUCUUCUUCCUGUCCUCCUUCUGCUGGGUGCUCACCGAGGCCUGGCAGUCCUACAUGGCCGUGACGGGCCACCUCCGGAACCGCCUCAUCCGCAAGCGCUUCCUCUGCCUGGGCUGGGGGCUCCCUGCACUGGUUGUGGCCAUUUCCGUGGGAUUCACCAAGGCCAAAGGGUACAGCACCAUGAACUAGUGAACAUGGUCAUUGGGAUCCUGGUAUUCAACAAGCUCGUGUCCAAAGACGGCAUCACGGACAAGAAGCUGAAGGAGCGGGCAGGGGCCUCCCUGUGGAGCUCCUGCGUGGUGCUGCCGCUGCUGGCGCUGACCUGGAUGUCGGCCGUGCUCGCCGUCACCGACCGCCGCUCCGCCCUCUUCCAGAUCCUCUUCGCCGUCUUCGACUCGCUGGAGGGCUUCGUCAUCGUCAUGGUGCACUGUAUCCUCCGUAGAGAGGUCCAGGACGCUGUGAAAUGCCGUGUGGUUGACCGGCAGGAGGAGGGCAACGGGGACUCAGGGGGCUCCUUCCAGAACGGCCACGCCCAGCUCAUGACCGACUUCGAGAAGGACGUGGAUCUGGCCUGUAGAUCAGGUGAGCGCCCGACAGGUGAGAGGACGGUACCAGCCCAGCCCCCUGCACGGCCUCACUCCAUGCCUCCGCCUGUGCAUCACCCACAUCACCCAUCCCUGUCCACUCCUGCCGCCCCCACCCACACCCAGCCACACCGUCAGGCCCACCCAGACCCAGGGGACCUGCCCUGGGGGCCCAGCCAGGGCAGCGACCUUGGCCGCCAUGCCUCCCACCCCCGCCCACUCCCCGAGGCCAAAGGAGGGUCCAUGGGGCAUGAUCAGAAGCUUCCAGAACACUGCCCUGGCAUUCCUGCUGAGCGGUGCCUGUGGAGCCCCUGGCUGCCUCCCCUGCCCUCCUGGCAUCUUCUCUUCGUCCGUCGUGGCCCCAGCGAGGAGCAUAGCCCCACCCUAGUGCCCCUCCCCCCACCCACCUCCUGCCCGCCCCACUUUAGCACCUGUGUUCUGUGCCACCUUCAUUUCCUCAUUGCCAGUCCCAGCAGGGGGAGAAGUGAGUGGGGCUUUCAGGCUAGGGGGACAAUGGGGAGCAAGAGAAAGGCGGGGAGAAGGACCCACCAUGGAGCCCUCGGCCGGUGCUGAGCUUCCUGGAACCAAGUGCAAAAAAGGAAUGACUGCCCAAUAAAGGAAGCUCCGCCGCCC